AGGUGUAUGGCUCAGUGGUAGAGCAUUUUUCUGCAGAUCAAGCGGUCUCAAGUUCAAAUCCUGGUGCCCCUC
Molecule: transfer RNA, 72 nt
Filed under: Pelobates cultripes (western spadefoot toad)
Lineage: Eukaryota; Metazoa; Chordata; Amphibia; Anura; Pelobatidae
Description: tRNA.Cys
Rfam family: tRNA
About the family: Transfer RNA (tRNA) molecules are approximately 80 nucleotides in length. Their secondary structure includes four short double-helical elements and three loops (D, anti-codon, and T loops). Further hydrogen bonds mediate the characteristic L-shaped molecular structure. tRNAs have two regions of fundamental functional importance: the anti-codon, which is responsible for specific mRNA codon recognition, and the 3' end, to which the tRNAs corresponding amino acid is attached (by aminoacyl-tRNA synthetases). tRNAs cope with the degeneracy of the genetic code in two manners: having more than one tRNA (with a specific anti-codon) for a particular amino acid; and 'wobble' base-pairing, i.e. permitting non-standard base-pairing at the 3rd anti-codon position.
Source: RNAcentral